CCACGGGUGGCAGCAGUGGGGAAUAUUGGACAAUGGGCGAAAGCCUGAUCCAGCCAUGCCGCGUGUGUGAAGAAGGCCUUCGGGUUGUAAAGCACUUUCAGUGGGGAAGAAAGCCUUGGGGCUAAUACCCUCGAGGAAGGACAUCACCCACAGAAGAAGCACCGGCUAACUCCGUGCCAGCAGCCGCGGUAAUACGGAGGGUGCGAGCAGUUAAUCGGAAUUACUGGGCGUAAAGCGCGCGUAGGCGGUCUGAUAAGCCGGUUGUGAAAGCCCCGGGCUCAACCUGGGAACGGCAUCCGGAACUGUCAGGCUAGAGUGCAGGAGAGGAAGGUAGAAUUCCCGGUGUAGCGGUGAAAUGCGUAGAGAUCGGGAGGAAUACCAGUGGCGAAGGCGGCCUUCUGGACUGACACUGACGCUGAGGUGCGAAAGCGUGGGUAGCAAACAGGAUUAGAUACCCGAGUAGUC
Molecule: ribosomal RNA, 465 nt
Filed under: Vreelandella stevensii
Lineage: Bacteria; Pseudomonadati; Pseudomonadota; Gammaproteobacteria; Oceanospirillales; Halomonadaceae
Description: partial 16S ribosomal RNA
Rfam family: Bacterial small subunit ribosomal RNA
Source: RNAcentral